This 247-nucleotide ribosomal RNA is filed under the name uncultured eukaryote. RNAcentral's name for it is "partial small subunit ribosomal RNA". It matches the Rfam family "Eukaryotic small subunit ribosomal RNA", at positions 587 to 837 of the family's 1831-position model. The record is from RNAcentral.
AGCUCCAAUAGCGUAUACUAAAGUUGUUGCAGUUAAAAAGCUCGUAGUUGGAUUUCUGUGCACCGGUUGUUGGUCUGUCUCAAUGAGGCGGUACCUUCACCGUUGUACAUCCUGUUGGCAGACACGUGCUGGCAUUCAUUUGUCGGUGCGGGGAGACCACUCGUUUACUUUGAGAAAAUUAAAGUGUUCAAAGCAGGCAAUCGCUUGAAUACAUUAGCAUGGAAUAAUAGUAUAGGACUUUGAUCUU